Molecule: ribosomal RNA, 467 nt
Filed under: uncultured bacterium
Lineage: Bacteria
Description: partial 16S ribosomal RNA
Rfam family: Bacterial small subunit ribosomal RNA
Source: RNAcentral
GAUGAACGCUGGCGGCGCGCCUAACACAUGCAAGUCGAACGAUUAAAGCACCUUCGGGUGUGUAUAAAGUGGCGAACGGCUGAGUAACACGUGGGCAGCCUGCCCCUCUCAUUGGGAUAGCCACGGGAAACCGUGGAUAAUACCGAAUACUUCGGGACUUCCGCAUGGAAGACUCGAGAAAGCUCCGGCGGAGAGGGAUGGGCCCGCGGCCUGUUAGCUUGUUGGUGGGGUAAUGGCCUACCAAGGCAAUGAUGGGUAGCUGGGUUGAGAGACCGACCAGCCAGAUUGGGACUGAGACACGGCCCAGACUCCUACGGGAGGCAGCAGUGGGGAAUCUUGCACAAUGGGCGAAAGCCUGAUGCAGCGACGCCGCGUGCGGGAUGAAGGCCUUCGGGUUGUAAACCGCUUUCAGCAGGGACGAGGCGAAAGUGACGGUACCUGCAGAAGAAGCCCCGGCUAACUACGUG